GUCGAGAAUCUUUCACAAUGGGGGCAACCCUGAUGGAGCGACGCCGCGUGGAGGAUAAGGUCUUCGGAUUGUAAACUCCUGUCAUGCGUGAACAAGGUUGCUUGGUUAAUACCUGGGCAAAUUGAUGGUAACGCAAGAGGAAGAGACGGCUAACUCUGUGCCAGCAGCCGCGGUAAUACAGAGGUCUCAAGCGUUGUUCGGAAUCACUGGGCGUAAAGGGUGCGUAGGUGGCGUGGUAAGUCAGAUGUGAAAGCCCGGGGCUCAACCGCGGAACUGCAUCCGAUACUGCCAUGCUAGAGUACUGGAGAGGUGACUAGAAUUCUCGGUGUAGCAGUGAAAUGCGUAGAUAUCGAGAGGAAUACCAAAGGCGUAGGCAGGUCACUGGACAGUUACUGACACUGAGGCACGAAGGCCAGGGGAGCGAACGGGAUUAGAAACCCUGGUAGUCC
This 449-nucleotide ribosomal RNA is filed under the name uncultured bacterium. RNAcentral describes it as "partial 16S ribosomal RNA". It matches the Rfam family "Bacterial small subunit ribosomal RNA", at positions 354 to 796 of the family's 1533-position model. The record is from RNAcentral.